RNAcentral lists this long non-coding RNA (235 nucleotides) under Elaeis guineensis (African oil palm). Its description in RNAcentral is "long non-coding RNA (EGUI_LNC008897)". Lineage: Eukaryota; Viridiplantae; Streptophyta; Magnoliopsida; Arecales; Arecaceae. The record is from RNAcentral.
UAGAUUUGGAUGUGAAAAACUGUUGCACUACCUCUACCACCUCGCUCCUAAUAAUCAUCCAAUACCACCUAAAAAAGAAAGGUAGAAAACCAUCCAGGCUGGGAGCCUUAUCCUCCGCCAUAGCAUAGAAGGCUCUGUAGACCUCCUUCGCCUAUAUCGGACUAAUCAACAUGUCAUUGUCCCACGUCGAAACAUGAUCAGUGGGAGAAGGAAUGACAGACAUCUCACCUCUCCC